AGUGGCGCACGGGUGAGUAACACGUGGGUAAUUUACCUUUAAGCUGAGAAUAACUUCGCGAAAGUGGGGCUAAUACUCAAUAAGACUACGAUAACCUUGGAUUAUUAUAGUAAAAGAAGGCCUCUGAUUUAAGCUUUCACUUAAAGAGAAGCCCGCGUACCAUUAGCUCGUUGGUAAGGUAAUGGCUUACCAAGGCUACGAUGGUUAGCUGGUCUGAGAGGAUGAUCAGCCACACUGGAACUGGAACACGGUCCAGACUCCUACGGGAGGCAGCAGUGGGGAAUCUUGCGCAAUGGGGGAAACCCUGACGCAGCAACGCCGUGUGAGCGAUGAAGGCUUUCGGGUCGUAAAGCUCUGUUAGGUGGAAAGAAUUUUUUCCAAUUGAAUACAUUGGAAAAGUGACGGUACCACCAGAGGAAGCACCGGCAAACUCCGCGCCAGCAGCCGCGGUAAUACGGAGGGUGCAAGCGUCGUUCGGAAUCAUUGGGCGUAAAGAGCGUUGUAGGUGGUUAAAUAAGUCAGAUGUGAAAUACCUUAGCUCAACUAAGGAAGUGCAUCUGAAACUGUUUAGCUUGAGUACGGGAGGGGAAUGGCGGAAUUCCCAGUGUAGAGGUGAAAUUCAUAGAUAUUGGGAGGAACACCGGUGGCGAAGGCGGCCUUCUAACCCGAUACUGACACUGAGACGCGAAAGCGUGGGGAGCAAACAGGAUUAGAUACCCUGGUAGUCCACGCUGUAAACGAUGGGCACUAGGUGUAGGAGGUUUUAUCCCUUCUGUGCCGCAGCUAACGCAUUAAGUGCCCCGCCUGGGGAGUACGGUCGCAAGGCUAAAACUCAAAGGAAUUGACGGGGGCCCGCACAAGCGGUGGAGCAUGUGGUUCAAUUCGACGCUACGCGAAGAACCUUACCUGGGCUUGACAUUCCGGUGAAAGUUCCUGAAAAGGUAACCCUCUUUGAGUAAUCGAAGACACCGGAACAGGUGCUGCAUGGCUGUCGUCAGCUCGUGUCGUGAGGUGUUGGGUUAAGUCCCGCAACGAGCGCAACCCUUAUUUUUAGUUGCUAACAUUAAGUUGAGCACUCUAAAGAAACUGCCGAUGUUAAGUCGGAGGAAGGUGGGGAUGACGUCAAGUCCUCAUGGCCUUUAUGUCCAGGGCUACACACGUGCUACAAUGGUCGGUACAAAGGGCAGCAAUCUCGCGAGAGGGAGCCAAUCUCAAAAAGCCGAUCUCAGUUCGGAUUGAAGUCUGCAACUCGACUUCAUGAAGGCGGAAUCGCUAGUAAUUCUGGAUCAGCAUGCCAGAGUGAAUACGUUCCCGGGCCUUGUACACACCGCCCGUCACACCACGAAAGUCGUUUGCACCAGAAGUCGCUGAGUCAA
This 1376-nucleotide ribosomal RNA is filed under the name uncultured delta proteobacterium. RNAcentral describes it as "16S ribosomal RNA". It matches the Rfam family "Bacterial small subunit ribosomal RNA", at positions 94 to 1438 of the family's 1533-position model. Lineage: Bacteria; Deltaproteobacteria. The record is from RNAcentral.